This is a long non-coding RNA of Magnolia sinica, 749 nucleotides long. RefSeq lists it as uncharacterized. The record is from RefSeq and is a predicted model, not a curated record. NCBI's taxonomy places the organism in Eukaryota, Viridiplantae, Streptophyta, Magnoliopsida, Magnoliales, Magnoliaceae. The transcript is spliced from 3 exons.
UGGCUUUAACAUUUAAAUCUGUUUGCUUAAUUUUAGGUGCUCAUGCUUCAUUUUCAGGUAUUCCAGUCUCCAAUAUGGAUGUUCUGCUUUUGAUUGCUUUACCUCUUGUUUGAUUUGGAUUUUGUCCAAAAGGUACCUAAUGGACCCAACCUGAUCUUAAUGCUUUCCUGAUGAUGAUAUUGAAGAAAUUGAAGAUUAUAGACUUGGGAAGGAAACUGUCGCAUCUCAUUUGGAUAGCAUUGAUCAGAGAACAAUGAAUCCUUUGCAAUCUAUCAUCCAUUGGGUUAUACACAUCACUACAAGAAAUUGACUUUUGUUGGCUGGCUUUAAUUAUUAUCUUUUGAAUCAUAAACUAAUUUCUAUCAGUUGUGUGGCCCAUUAUCUAAUAAUCUUCAGCAAAUAAAUUAUCUGUGAUCAUCUGCAGUACAUGAGCCCACUGGAUGAACAUGUACUCAAUGUACAGUGGGAGACUACAACUUUGGAAAAUGAGAGAUGGGUCUUGAUUACAUUUGCAUUUCAUGCGCUUUUCAGGAGUGAAGGCAUUCUACAUGGCAGAUUUCUUUGUAGCAGAUGUUGGUGACUGAAUUUUGUUCUUCUUUUAACUAUCAUCUCUUUACAAAAUAUAGAUUCUUACUGGUUGCUUGAAAUGCUUUUCAGUCGUGGGUUCCACUUGAGUAUCAUGCUAUCGACAGCUUACCAUGUUAUGUUGAAUGAGCACAGCUUACCAUGUUCUAGCUCUUUGCUUUUGG